CUGGGUGUCAUUUAGAUUUGUAAGGGGAUAGAUUAGGGACGGGGAGAUAGGGAAAGGUAGUUUGUAGGGUGACAGGGAGGGAAGAUGCUCCCCUGAGGUUUUGUUUGGGGUUUUUGUUUAGUUAAAUUAAAAUACCAUUGUUGGAGUAUGUAUGAAAAUUAUGAGUUAUAAAGAAUGAAUGGUAUUGAAGGUAAUAAAUUAUUUUUUAUUUAAAAAAAAAGAAAAAAAAGAUAGGCUGUUUAGGUUUGCGCGUUACGUUUCUUGUUUUUGUGUUUUUCGUGUUUAUUCGUUAAUUAAACAUGUAUAAAAUUACCACACUGCAUUUUGGUCCGCCUCUCCUUCACUGGAUGAGGAUCCAAGAUGGCGUAGCAUUCAGACGUCUUGUCGUGUCGUGUCCCUUGUAUAUAUCGUUUUUUUUACAUAUUUUUCUUCGCAUAUCUUUUAAAACAUUUUGCUAAACCCCAACAUCUAAAUACUCUCCUGCAACCCACCUCACCAAUGUAGCAUGGAUCUGCUUUUUUUUCUAAAGUAUUUAUAUUUACUUCGGAUCCGGAACCCCUCAACUGAAGCUAGCCAGCUAACUACCAGCUAUCAGUCAGCAAACCAUUGCUAACCGGUCAUCAGCUAACCUUUAGCUCGGAAAGCUCUCGCCAGUUCGAACAACGUGACUCUAACGAGAGCAUAACGGACCUAUUAUUUUUAUCCCCGGAUUCCCACCGCAAACGGAACAUUUUCAGCUGGAUCUUCACAACUAGCUAACUAGCUAACCGCAACCCCGAAUGUUUACUCCUGGCUAGCGUUUCCAUUCACUUAGCUUGAAGCUAGCCCGGCCAGAGCUGCUGUGCUACCACCGAAGCAUACUCCUGGGCUACAGUAUCCAGACCCACGACCGGUCUAUCGAUGUCACCGCAUGAAGAGGCAUAAACAGACUUAACCCCAUCGCGACGUCCCCCAAAGGCUAACUUUCUAGCCCUUGCUAUCUGCUUGCUUGCUAAUUCGGCCUGCUAACUGCUAGCUUGUUUAGCCCCGGUCCGAUAACUGCUAGCUUGUUUAGCCCCGGCCUACUAACUGUUAGCUUGUUAGCACAGGCCUGCUAACUGUCUGAAUCGCCGCGUCCCCAGCCAGCCCAACCACUCACUGGACCCAUAUUUACUUUCAAUCUCUUUUCGAUUUUUAAUUCGAUUAUACCUUCCGGUAACCUGCCUCACCAAAUGUGAUACGGAAUCGCUAUUACAUUCAAGAACCUCCAGAAGCUAACCAGCUAACUAGCUACAAGCCAUUUAGUCAUUGUUAGCCACUGCUAGCGGCUUUUACCUUCUGCACAGCCAGACAGUUUUUUUUAACCUGGAUAAUACUCGCCAGUCUAGCUUCCCUGCCCCAUCCACCGCUGCCCCCUGGACACAGAUCCCUUGGCUACAUAGCUGAUGUAUGCUGGACUGUCCAUUAAUCACGGUACUCCAUUCUGCUUGUUUAUGUUUUAUCUGACUGCCCCAGCCGCACUCAGGCUCUGUGUGUAGUUAAUCCGACCCUCCCUGCCUAGUCAACGCCAUUUUACCUGCUGUUGUUGUGCUAGCUGUUUAGCUGUUGUUGUCUCACCUACUGUUUUAGCUAGCUCUCCCAAUUCAACACCUGUGAUUACUGUAUGCCUCGCUGUAUGUCUCUCUCAAAUGUCAAUAUGCCUUGUAUACUGUUGUUCAGGUUAGUUAUCAUUGUUUUAGUUUACAAUGGAGCCCCUAGUUCCACUCUUCAUACCCCUGAUACCUCCUUUGUCCCACCUCCCACACAUGCGGUGACCUCACCCAUUACAACCAGCAUGUCCAGAGAUACAACCUCUCUCAUCAUCACCCAGUGCCUGGGCUUACCUCCGCUGUACCCGCACCCCACCAUACCCUGUCUGCGCAUUAUGACCUGAAUAUAUUCUACCAUGCCCAGAAAUCUGCUCCUUUUAUUCUCUGUCCCCAACGCUCUAGGCGACCAGUUUUGAUAGCCUUUAGCCGCACCCUCAUACUACUCCUCCUCUGUUCCGCGGGUGAUGUGGAGGUAAACCCAGGCCCUGCAUGUCCCCAGGCACCCUCAUUUGUUGACUUCUGUGAUCGAAAAAGCCUUGGUUUCAUGCAUGUCAACAUCAGAAGCCUCCUCCCUAAGUUUGUUUUGCUCACUGCUUUAGCACACUCUGCUAACCCUGAUGUCCUUGCCGUGUCUGAAUCCUGGCUCAGGAAGGCCACCAAAAAUUCUGAGAUUUCCAUACCCAACUAUAACAUUUUCCGUCAAGAUAGAACUGCCAAAGGGGGAGGAGUUGCAGUCUACUGCAGAGAUAGCCUGCAAAGUAAUGUCAUACAUUCCAGGUCCAUACCCAAACAGUUCAAACUACUAAUUUAAAAAAUUACUCUCUCCAGAAAUAAGUCUCUCAUUGUUGCCGCCUGCUACCGAUCCCCCUCAGCUCCCAGCUGUGCCCUGGACACCAUUUGUGAAUUGAUCACCCCCCAUCUAGCUUCAGAGUUUGUUCUGUUAGGUGACCUAAACUGGGAUAUGUUUAACACCCCGGCAGUCCUACAAUCUAAGCUAGAUGCCCUCAAUCUCACACAAAUCAUCAAGGAACCCACCAGGUACAACCCUAAAUCUGUAAACAAGGGCACCCUCAUAGACGUCAUCCUGACCAACUGGCCCUCCAAAUACACCUCCGCUGUCUUCAACCAGGAUCUCAGCGAUCACUGUCUCAUUGCCUGUAUCCGCUACGGAGCCGCAGUCAAACGACCACCCCUCAUCACUGUCAAACGCUCCCUAAAACACUUCUGUGAGCAGUUCUUUCUAAAUCGACCUGGCCCGGGUAUCCUGGAAGGACAUUGUCCUCAUCCCGUCAGUUGAGGAUGCCUGGUCAUUCUUUAAAAGUAACUUCCUCACCAUUUUAGAUAAGCAUGCUCCGUUCAAAAAAUGCAGAACUAAGAACAGAUAUAGCCCUUGGUUCACUCCAGACCUGACUGCCCUCGACCAGCACAAAAACAUCCUGUGGUGGACUGCAAUAGCAUCGAAUAGUCCCCGCGAUAUGCAACUGUUCAGGGAAGUCAGGAACCAAUACACGCAGUCAGUCAGGAAAGCUAAGGCCAGCUUCUUCAGGCAGAAAUUCGCAUCCUGUAGCUCCAACUCCAAAAAGUUCUGGGACACUGUGAAGUCCAUGGAGAACAAGAACACCUCCUCCCAGCUGCCCACUGCACUGAGGCUAGGUAACACUGUCACCACCGAUAAAUCCAUGAUUAUCGAAAACUUCAACAAGCAUUUCUCAACGGCUGGCCAUGCCUUCCGCCUGGCUACUCCAACCUCGGCCAACAGCUCUGCCCCCCCGCAGCAACUCGCCCAAGCCUCUCCAGGUUCUCCUUUACCCAAAUCCAGUUAGCAGAUGUUCUGAAAGAGCUGCAAAACCUGGACCCGUACAAAUCAGCUGGGCUUGACAAUCUGGACCCCCUAUUUCUGAAACUAUCCUCCGCCAUUGUCGCAACCCCUAUUACCAGCCUGUUCAACCUCUCUUUCAUAUCGUCUGAGAUCCCCAAGGAUUGGAAAGCUGCCGCAGUCAUCCCUUCUUCAAAGGGGGAGACACCCUGGACCCAAACUGUUACAGACCUAUAUCCAUCCUGCCCUGCCUAUCUAAGGUCUUCGAAAGCCAAGUCAACAAACAGGUCACUGACCAUCUCGAAUCCCACCGUACCUUCUCCGCUGUGCAAUCUGGUUUCCGAGACGGUCACGGGUGCACCUCAGCCACGCUCAAGGUACUAAACGAUAUCAUAACCGUCAUCGAUAAAAGAAAGUACUGUGCAGCCGUCUUCAUCGACCUUCAUUCGACCUUGCCAAGGCUUUCGACUCUGUCAAUCACCAUAUUCUUAUGGGCAGACUCCGUAGCCUCGGUUUUUCUGAUGACUGCCGUGCCGGGUUCACCAACUACUUUGCAGACAGAGUUCAGUGUGUCAAAUCGGAGGGCAUGCUGUCCGGUCCUCUGGCAGUCUCUAUGGGGGUGCCACAGUGUUCAAUUCUCGGGCCGACUCUUUUCUCUGUAUAUAUCAAUGAUGUUGCUCUUGCUGCGGGCGAUUCCCUGAUCCACCUCUACGCAGACGACACCAUUCUAUAUACUUCCGGCCCGUCCUUGGACACUGUGCUAUCUAACCUCCAAACAAGCUUCAAUGCCAUACAACACUCCUUCCGUGGCCUCCAACUGCUCUUAAACGCUAGUAAAACCAAAUGCAUGCUUUUCAACCGUUCGCUGCCUGCACCUGCACACCUGACUAGCAUCACCACCCUGGAUGGGUCCGACCUUGAAUAUGUGGACAUCCUAUAAGUACCUAGGUGUCUGGCUAGACUGUAAACUCUCCUUCCAGACUCAUAUCAAACAUCUCCAAUCGAAAAUCAAAUCUAGAGUCGGCUUUCUAUUCCGCAACAAAGCCUCCUUCACUCACGCCGCCAAACUUACCCUAGUAAAACUGACUAUCCUACCGAUCCUCGACUUUGGCGAUGUCAUCUACAAAGUAUCUUCCAACACUCUACUCAGCAAACUGGAUGCAGUUUAUCACAGUGCCAUCCGUUUUGUCACUAAUGCACCUUAUACCACCCACCACUGCGACCUGGAUGCUCUAGUUGGCUGGCCCUCGCUACAUAUUCGUCGCCAGACCCACUGGCUCCAGGUUGGAGUUGCAAAUGAGAACUUGUUCUCAACUAGCCUACCUGGCUAAAUAAAGGUGAAAUAAAAUUUAAAAAUAAAAAAAAACUGGAAGAAAACAGUAACAGAAUCACCCACCACAACAGGACCAAGCGGCGUGGUGACAGGCAGUGGCAGGAGGAGCAGCGAAAUCCGGAUUUCUGGACAUGGGAGGAGAUAUUGGAUGGAAAGGGUCCCUGGGCACAGCCUGGAGAAUAUCGCCGCCCCAAAGAAGAACUGGAGGCGGCGAAAGCGGAGAGGCGCUGGUAUGAGGAGGCAGCAUGACGACGUGGAUGGAAGCCCGAGAGUCAGCCCCAAAAAUGUCUUGGGGGGGCACAGGGUGAGUGUGGCAGAGUCAGGAGUCACACCUGAGCCAACUCCCCCUGUUUAUCGUAAGGAGCCAAGGAGGAAACCAGAGCCAGAGCCGGUGUUAGAGGUGAGCGAAGCAGAGACUGUGAAGGAGUUAAUGGGGAAAUUGAAGGAGAGAGUUAUGAGGGAGUUGCUGUGUUGGUGCAUUAGGCACGGAAUUCGCCCGACGGAGCGUGUCGGGGAUUUGAUGGCACCUGGGUCAGCGCUCCAUACUCGUCCUGAGGUGCGUGUUAGUUGGCUGGUGAAGAUUGUGCCAGCCUCACGCACCAGGCCUCCUGUGCACCUCCCUAGCCUUGCACGUCCUGUGCCAGCCCUGCUCUCAAGAUCUCCAGUACGCCUUCAUGGUCCGGUCCAUCCUGUGCCACCUCCACACACCAGCCCUCCGGUGGCAGCUUCCCGCACCAGGCUUCCUGUGCGUGUUCUCGGCCCAGUACCACCAGUGCCAGCACCAUGCACCAGGCCUUCAGUGCGCUUCGCCUGUCCGGCGCUGCCAGAGCCUUCCUCCUCUCCAGCGCUGCCGGAGUCUCCCGCCUGUUUAGCGCUGCCAGAGCCUUUCUCCUCUCCAGCGCUGCCGGAGUCUCCCGCCUGUUCAGCGCUGCCAGAGCUGCCAGUCUGCAUGGAGCAGCCAGAGCUGCCAGUCUGCAUGGAGCAGCCAGAGCUGCCAGUCUGCAUGGAGCAGCCAGAGCUGCCAGUCUGCAUGGAGCAGCCAGAGCGGUCAGUCUGCAUGGAGCUGCCAGUCUGCAUGGAGCAGCCAGAGCUGCCAGUCAGCCAGAAUCUUCCAGAUCCGCCAGUCAGCCAGGAUCCGCCAGUCAGCCAGGAUCUGCCAGAACCGCCAGUCAGCCAGGAUCUGCCAGAACCACCAGCCAGCCAGGAUCUGCCAGAUCCAACUACCUGCCUGAGCUUCCCCUCAGUCCCGAGCUUCCCCUCAGUCCCGAGCUUCCCCUCAGUCCCGAUUUUCCCCUCAGUCCCGAGCUUCCCAUCAGUCCCGAGCUUCCCAUCAGUCCCGAGCUUCCCAUCAGUCCCGAGCUACCCCUCAGUCCCGAGCUACCCCUCAGUCCCGAGCUGCCCCUCAGUCCAGUGGGGUCCUUGGUGAGGGUUACUAGGCCAAGGUCGGCGGCGAGGGUCGCCAAUCAAACGACGCGAUGCUGGUGGACUAAGACUUUGUUGGAGUGGGGUCCGGGGG
Molecule: long non-coding RNA, 6233 nt
Organism: Oncorhynchus tshawytscha (Chinook salmon)
Lineage: Eukaryota; Metazoa; Chordata; Actinopteri; Salmoniformes; Salmonidae
Source: Ensembl